Molecule: non-coding RNA, 696 nt
Organism: Enhydra lutris kenyoni (northern sea otter)
Lineage: Eukaryota; Metazoa; Chordata; Mammalia; Carnivora; Mustelidae
Source: the annotation of a RefSeq genome assembly
GGAACCCAGCAGUGCUGUGGGAUCUCAGGAAGCAGAGCUCUGGGCAUCUCCACCAUGGACUGGAUUCCUCUCCUGCUCCCUGUCCUCACUCUCUGCACAGGCUCCAUGGCCUCCAGUGUGUUGACUCAGCCUCAUUCGGUGUCAGUGUCCCUGGGACAGACAGCUACCAUCACCUGCUCUGGAGAGAUACUGUCAGAAAAAUAUGCAUAUUGGUACCAGCAGAAGCCAGGCCAACCCCCUGUGCAGGUCAUUUAUAAGGACACUGAGCGUCCCUCUGGGAUCCCAGACCGAUUCUCUGGCUCCAGUUCAGGGACCACACACACCCUGACCAUCAACGGGGCCCAGGCCGAGGAUGAGGCUGACUAUUACUGUCAGUCAUCAGAAAGCAGUGGUGAAGCUCACAGUGACACAGGCAGAUGGGGAAGCUCUGUGACCUCCAGUGAGCUGACUCAGCCGCUCUUUGUGUCAGUGGCCCUAGGUCAGAUGGCUAAAAUCACCUGCACUGGAGAGGAACUGGAAUAUGGUUAUGUACAUUGGUACCAGCAGAAGCCAGGCUCCGUGGUCUCCAGUGAGCUGACUCAGCCACCCUUUGUGUCAGUGGCCCUGGGACAGAUGGCUACAAUCACCUGCACUGGAGAGGAACUGAAUAUGAUUAUGUACACUGGUACCAGUAAAAGCCAGGAGAAGCCCCUUUGA